AAACUUCAACAGAGUACUCGCCUUCAAGGAAGUUAACGCUUGGCAAUGGAAAGUGGCCAGACUCUCUGUACAUUAUGAAAUGUACGAGAGUCUGGUAGGACCAGGCUAGGGAGACCUGUGUUACAGAUAAAGAAA
This is a long non-coding RNA of Alosa sapidissima (American shad), 135 nucleotides long. RefSeq lists it as uncharacterized. The transcript is spliced from 3 exons. The record is from RefSeq and is a predicted model, not a curated record. NCBI's taxonomy places the organism in Eukaryota, Metazoa, Chordata, Actinopteri, Clupeiformes, Clupeidae.